CCUACGGGCGGCUGCAGUGGGGAAUAUUGGACAAUGGGGGCAACCCUGAUCCAGCCAUGCCGCGUGUGUGAAGAAGGCCCUCGGGUUGUAAAGCACUUUCAGUGAGGAAGAACGCCUGGUGGUUAAUACCCAUCAGGAAAGACAUCACUCACAGAAGAAGCACCGGCUAACUCCGUGCCAGCAGCCGCGGUAAUACGGAGGGUGCGAGCGUUAAUCGGAAUUACUGGGCGUAAAGCGCGCGUAGGUGGCUUGAUAAGCCGGUUGUGAAAGCCCCGGGCUCAACCUGGGAACGGCAUCCGGAACUGUCAAGCUAGAGGGCAGGAGAGGAAGGUAGAAUUCCCGGUGUAGCGGUGAAAUGCGUAGAGUUCGGGAGGAAUUCCAGUGGCGAAGGCGGCCUUCUGGACUGACACUGACACUGAGGUGCGGAAGCGUGGGUAGCAAACAGGAUUAGAUACCCUGGUAGUA
RNAcentral lists this ribosomal RNA (465 nucleotides) under Vreelandella stevensii. RNAcentral's name for it is "partial 16S ribosomal RNA". It matches the Rfam family "Bacterial small subunit ribosomal RNA", at positions 338 to 795 of the family's 1533-position model. Lineage: Bacteria; Pseudomonadati; Pseudomonadota; Gammaproteobacteria; Oceanospirillales; Halomonadaceae. The record is from RNAcentral.